This 460-nucleotide ribosomal RNA is filed under the name uncultured bacterium. RNAcentral describes it as "partial 16S ribosomal RNA". It matches the Rfam family "Bacterial small subunit ribosomal RNA", at positions 338 to 795 of the family's 1533-position model. The record is from RNAcentral.
CCUACGGGAGGCAGCAGUGAGGAAUAUUGGUCAAUGGCCGGAAGGCUGAACCAGCCAUGCCGCGUGAAGGUCAGUGCCCUAUGGGCGUUAAACUUCUUUUGUGCGGGAGCAAUAAUGGUCACGUGUGGCCAGACGAGAGUACCGUACGAAUAAGCAUCGGCUAACUCCGUGCCAGCAGCCGCGGUAAUACGGGGGAUGCAAGCGUUAUCCGGAGUUAUUGGGUUUAAAGGGUGCGUAGGCUGUGAGGUAAGUCAGCGGUGAAAUGCCCCCGCUCAACGGGGUGAAGUGCCAUUGAUACUGCCUUGCUGGAAUGCGGAUGAGGUGGGAGGAAUGUGUGGUGUAGCGGUGAAAUGCAUAGAUAUCACACAGAACACCGAUUGCGAAGGCAGCUCACGAAUCCGCGAUUGACGCUGAUGCACGAAAGCGUGGGUAUCAAACAGGAUUAGAUACCCCAGUAGUC